CCUACGGGUGGCAGCAGUGGGGAAUAUUGCACAAUGGGGGAAACCCUGAUCCAGCGACGCCGCGUGAGUGAGGAAGUAUCUCGGUAUGUAAAGCUCUAUUAGCAGGGAAGUAAAAGACGGCACCUGACUAAGAAGCCCCGGCUAAAUACGUGCCAGCAGCCGCGGUAAUAUGCCGGGGGCAAGCGUUCUCCGGAUUUACUGGGUGUAAAGGGAGCGUAGAGGGCUAGUCAAGUCAGAAGUGAAAGCCUAGGGGUCAAACUUGGGACUGCUUUUGAAACUGAGUAGCUAGAGUGCAGGAGAGGUAAGCGGAAUUCCUGGUGUAGCGGUGAAAUGCAUAGAUAUUAGGAGGAACACCGGUGGCGAAGGCGGCUUACUGGACUGUAACUGACGUUGAGGCUCGAAGGCGUGGGGAGCAAACAGGAUUAGAUACCCUUGUAGUC
Molecule: ribosomal RNA, 440 nt
Filed under: uncultured bacterium
Lineage: Bacteria
Description: partial 16S ribosomal RNA
Rfam family: Bacterial small subunit ribosomal RNA
Source: RNAcentral